RNAcentral lists this transfer RNA (71 nucleotides) under Salmonella enterica subsp. enterica serovar Enteritidis. RNAcentral describes it as "tRNA-Lys". Lineage: Bacteria; Pseudomonadati; Pseudomonadota; Gammaproteobacteria; Enterobacterales; Enterobacteriaceae. The record is from RNAcentral.
CGGCUUUGUAGCUCAGGUGGGUAGAGCAGCCUCUUUGAGGAAGGUCGCCGGUUCGAGACCGGUCAAAGCAA